This 397-nucleotide ribosomal RNA is filed under the name uncultured bacterium. RNAcentral's name for it is "partial 16S ribosomal RNA". It matches the Rfam family "Bacterial small subunit ribosomal RNA", at positions 523 to 918 of the family's 1533-position model. The record is from RNAcentral.
AUACGUAGGGGGCGAGCGUUGUUCGGAAUGAUUGGGCGUAAAGGGCGCGUAGGCGGCCCGGUAAGUCUGGAGUGAAAGUCCUGUUUUUAAGAUGGGAAUUGCUUUGGAUACUGUCGGGCUUGAGUGCAGGAGAGGUAAGUGGAAUUCCCAGUGUAGCGGUGAAAUGCGUAGAAAUUGGGAGGAACACCAGUGGCGAAGGCGACUUACUGGACUGUAACUGACGCUGAGGCGCGAAAGUGUGGGGAGCAAACAGGAUUAGAUACCCUGGUAGUCCACAUUGUAAACGAUGAAUGCUAGGUGUAGGGGGUAGCGACCCCUUCUGUGCCGCAGUCAACACAAUAAGCAGUCCGCCUGGGGAGUACGGCCGCAAGGUUGAAACUCAAAUGAAUUGGCGGGG